This 2063-nucleotide long non-coding RNA is filed under the name Eucalyptus grandis. RNAcentral describes it as "long non-coding RNA (EGRA_LNC006431)". Lineage: Eukaryota; Viridiplantae; Streptophyta; Magnoliopsida; Myrtales; Myrtaceae. The record is from RNAcentral.
UUCCCGGCCCCGAACCCGAGCCGUGCUUUGGGAACAAUCGUUCCUCGCGUCGCCGCCGUCGGAUUGAUCCGAUUUGCGGGCGAUUUGGUGAGUAAUCUCACUAAUCCUGGAUUAGUUGGCUAAUUAUGCUUAAGGUUGGUUUAGUUUUAAUUAAUUAUGUUUAGGUUGUUAGAUUAGAAUAAAUUAGCAAUUAUUAGUCAAUUAUGAUGUGAUUUAGAUAAAUUGAUUGUGCAAUUAACAAGUAGACGUGGUCUACUAUUUAUUGGAAGUAUCUCGGGAAUUUUCCGACCCCUAAUUGGGCUUCAAUUUGGCAAUUCGGGCCCUAAGUGAGAUUUUUGGGCAUUUAAAUAUUAAUUUUCGGAAUUAAAUUAAAUAAUUAUUUAUUUUCCGAAAAUUCAAGGGAGAUGGUUUGUGACCGGAAAAUUAUGCUGAUGACCGUGGUGAAGUCUGUUUAUUUAAUCGGGCUUUAUUUUAAGCUAAAUUGAAUUUUUAAUAUUAAUUAUUUAAUUUUAGAAAUUAAUUAAUUAAUUAUUUAUUUCCUGAAAAUUCAACUGAGAUGGCCUGGAACCGGAAAAUUAUGCUGAUGACCGUGGUGAAGUCUGUUUAUUUAAUCGGGCUUUAUUUUAAGCUAAAUUGAAUUUUUAAUAUUAAUUAUUUAAUUUUAGAAAUUAAUUAAUUAAUUAUUUAUUUCCUGAAAAUUCAACUGAGAUGGCCUGGAACCGGAAAAUUAUGCUGAUGACCGUGGUGAAGUCUGUUUAUUUAAUCGGGCUUUAUUUUAAGCUAAAUUGAAUUUUUAAUAUUAAUUAUUUAAUUUUAGAAAUUAAUUAAUUAAUUAUUUAUUUCCUGAAAAUUCAACUGAGAUGGCCUGGAACCGGAAAAUUAUGCUGAUGACCGUGGUGAAGCCCGUUUGUUUAAUUGUGUUUUAGUUUGUGCUAAUUUGAAUUAUUAGUAUUUAUUAAUUAAAUUUCGAAAUUAAUUAAUUAAUUAUUUAUUUUUCGGAAAUUAAGAUUGAGAUGGCCGAUGACCGAAAUCUCGUGCCGAUUGUUGUGACGCAGUCCGUUUAUUUAUUUGAGCUUUGAAUUGUGCCAAAUUGAAUUGAAAGUGGUCGAGUGGGACCGUAAAGCCAUUGAAUCUUGCAAGUGGUCGAGUGGGACCGUAAAGCCAUUAAAUCUUGAAAGUGGUCGAGUGGGACCGUAAAGCCAUUGAAUCUUGCAAGUGGUCGAGUGGGACCGUAAAGCCAUUGAAUCUUGCAAGUGGUCGAGUGGGACCGUAAAGCCAUUAAAUCUUGCAAGUGGUCGAGUGGGACCGUAAAGCCAUUAAAUAUUGAAUGUUGCUGAGUGGGACUCUGAAUAGCAAUAGUUUGAAUGACCGGGAAAUGGUCAGGUUGACAUGUAAUCGACAAGGUCGAUUGAUCAUUGUUUUGAUUUGAUGUUGUGAAUUGAUUGACUGAAUGGGAAUGACCGUGAGUGGUCUUGUUGACUUGUCAUCGACUAGGUCGAUUUGAUUGAUGCCUUGAUCGGUGAUACGAUUGCUUGAGUGCCUAUUGUGAAUCGUACUGACUUGCAGGUGGGAUCUGAUGCUAAGGUACGUCUUCUAACCUAUGCGUGUUUAGGCAGCCUUAGUAUAAUGGUUCACUAAUCGGGCUUAGUGGGGUAGAACUCGCUGAGACGUAGUCUCAUCCCAGUUUGGGGAAAACCAUUUCAGGACCCCGCUAAGGAGCUGAGGAGGAAGAGUUGGAGAAGGAUUUUGGGAGAAGAAGACAAUCUCGAGAGGGCCCGUGAGUACGGCCUAGAUGGACUGAAAUUUUAUCUUCUUUGAUAUCUCCAUUUUGAUGUGAAUAGAGUUUAGAAUAAAAAGUUGUGAAGUGUUCUGGUUUGUGGUUUGUAUAAAAGUUUGGUUAUAAAUUUCAAUAUGAAAAAUAUGGCCCUGUUUUCUAUCCCAUCGAUUUAUUGUCUGGGGAUUUUUAAUUGCUUCCGCAUGUGCUUAAAAAUGAAAGGGUCGGCGAUACAUUGUCCUGGGAUAUCGCAUUAUAAAAUCGACCAAGUGAGACGGAUGUGUGCGUG